RNAcentral lists this long non-coding RNA (887 nucleotides) under Anser brachyrhynchus (Pink-footed goose). RNAcentral describes it as "lncRNA (ENSABRG00000014222.1)". Lineage: Eukaryota; Metazoa; Chordata; Aves; Anseriformes; Anatidae. The record is from RNAcentral.
CUGUGAGAUGUUUUAUUUAUGCUCACUACCACCUGAUUUUUUUCAGCACUUUGCUGGAACAAUUAGUCUAGUAUUCCUGUAAACUUAUAUCUCAUUACAGAGGGCCAGACUAUCCCUCUACAACACAGACAUGCAUAUUACCUCUGUAACUGGAAAUGAAAGGCUGACACCGGCCCCAGCCCCUGAACCUUGCAGACCAGAUCAAUGGCCUUUGCGAUGCGUGAGUGCGAGAAUUCAGGGUUGGAGGCGUGGAGGCUAUUCCUCCUCCCUCCCACUCUCCUGCCCCAGAAAUCAGUGGAGAAGUGAAAGAAACUCUGCCAUACAUUCAAAAACCAUUUGGCAGAGACCAGAAGAGAUGGGGAAGUAGCAGUGGUGACUAGAUGCAGAUUUCUAGAAAUGCAGUUCAAUGCAGCAGACGGAAUAUGGAAGAGUCAUUCAAAUGGCACUGAUUGGAAAAAGUGAGACUUGCAAAAGCAUCAGGUUGUUGACUACUAAGGAGCAUGAGAUUUCACCUAACCAGAGUUAUCUUCUGUACUUCUGUGAUGCAGAAUUAUGGGGUUUCUCUGAAUUUUGGACCCUACAACAGUCUUGCAGCUUGUAGCCAGCUCUGUCUUGCUGGAGGCACAGAUCAGCAAGAUUGGAGGGGAAGGAGGAUGAAGGAUUACUGGCCCACCUCGCCUGGGAUGGGAUGGUGGCCACAGGCUCUGGUGUCCACGGAGCUCCCUGUGCUAUGCCCUGCUUGUCAAGCCUCCCUCAGCAUCUGUAACGGCUCCCAUCAAAAUUUUGAAACUACGCAAGUCCACUUGUGUUCAAGAGCUGCUGUACUGCUGGAAAUUAAAAUAGGUCAGGGUCAAAUGUUUGUACAGAUAUUACAAAUAUUUAAUUGA